RNAcentral lists this ribosomal RNA (463 nucleotides) under uncultured bacterium. RNAcentral describes it as "partial 16S ribosomal RNA". It matches the Rfam family "Bacterial small subunit ribosomal RNA", at positions 28 to 507 of the family's 1533-position model. The record is from RNAcentral.
GAUGAACGCUGACAGAAUGCUUAACACAUGCAAGUCUUUGGCGAAGCUGUGCUUGCACCGCCUAGCCAAGGCGGACGGGUGAGUAACGCGUAAGGAACUUGCCCUGCAGUCAGGGAUAACAGACGGAAACGACUGAUAAGACCUGGUAAAGUCAGGCGGACUCAUGUCCAGCCUGAUGAAAAGAGAUGCUGCAGGAGAGCCUUGCGUCCUAUUAGCUUGUUGGUGGGGUAACGGCCCACCAAGGCGAUGAUAGGUAGCCGGCCUGAGAGGGUGGACGGCCACAAGGGGACUGGGAGACGGCCCUUACUCCUACGGGAGGCAGCAGGGGGGAAUAAUGGACAAUGGGGGCAACCCUGAUCCAGGAAUUCUGUGUGCACGAUGAAGGUUUUCGGAUUGUAAAGUGCUUUCAGCAAGGAAGAAAAAAAUGACGGUACCUGCAGAAGAAGCGACGGCUAAAUACGUG